AAUGAACGCUGGCGGCGUGCCUAACACAUGCAAGUCGCACGAGAACACCCUGCUUCGGCGGGGUAAGUAAAGUGGCGCACGGGUGAGUAACGCGUGGGCAACCUGCCUCCGGAUCGGGGAUAACACUGCGAAAGCGGUGCUAAUACCGGAUGAUGUCAUAUUGUCUUCGGAUUUUAUGACCAAAGACGGCCUCUGCGUGCAAGCCGUUGUCUGGAGAGGGGCCCGCGUACCAUUAGCCUGCCGGUGGGUAACGGCCCACCGGGGCGACGAUGGUUAGCCGGUCUGAGAGGAUGACCGGUCACACCGGAACUGACACACGGUCCGGACUCCUACGGGAGGCAGCAGUGAGGAAUUUUUGCGCAAUGGGGGCAACCCUGACGCAGCAACGCCGCGUGAGUGAUGAAGGCUUUCGGGUCGUAAAGCUCUUUUCGCCAGGGAUGAUAAUGAC
Molecule: ribosomal RNA, 448 nt
Filed under: uncultured bacterium
Lineage: Bacteria
Description: bacterial SSU rRNA
Rfam family: Bacterial small subunit ribosomal RNA
Source: RNAcentral